AGACGUCUACAUUAGAUACCCGGGUAGUCCCAGCCGUAAACAAUGUGCGUUAGGUGUGUCGGUAACCACGUGUUACUGAUGCGCCGAAGAGAAAUCGUGAAACGCACCACCUGGGAAGUACGGUCGCAAGGCUGAAACUUAAAGGAAUUGGCGGGGAGCACCACAACGGGUGGAGCCUGCGGUUUAAUUGGACUCAACGCCGGGAAGCUCACCGGAUAAGACAGCGGAAUGAUUGCCGGGCUGAAGACUCUGCAUGACUAGCUG
This 264-nucleotide ribosomal RNA is filed under the name uncultured archaeon. Its description in RNAcentral is "partial 16S ribosomal RNA". It matches the Rfam family "Archaeal small subunit ribosomal RNA", at positions 717 to 982 of the family's 1478-position model. The record is from RNAcentral.